UUGAACGCUGGCGGCGUGCUUAACACAUGCAAGUCGUGCGGUAACAGGCGUAGCAAUACGUGCUGACGAGCGGCGAACGGGUGCGUAAUACAUGGGAAUCUGCCCUUUAGUGGGGAAUAACCCGGCGAAAGCCGGGCUAAUGCCGCAUAAGAUCUUCGGAUGAAAGCGGGGGAUCGUAAGACCUCGCGCUGUUGGAUGAGCCCAUGUCGGAUUAGCUAGUGGUGAGGUAACGGCUCACCAAGGCGACGAUCCGUAGCUGGUCUGAGAGGACGGCCAGCCACACUGGGACUGAGACACGGCCCAGACUCCUACGGGAGGCAGCAGUGGGAAUAUUGGACAAUGGGCGCAAGCCUGAUCCAGCGAUGCCGCGUGUGUGAAGAAGGCCUGCGGGUUGUAAAGCACUUUCAGUAGGGAAGAAAAGCCGAGUGCUAAUAUCACUCGGUCUUG
RNAcentral lists this ribosomal RNA (447 nucleotides) under uncultured bacterium. RNAcentral's name for it is "bacterial SSU rRNA". It matches the Rfam family "Bacterial small subunit ribosomal RNA", at positions 30 to 472 of the family's 1533-position model. The record is from RNAcentral.